GAUGAACGCUGGCGGCGUGCCUAAUACAUGCAAGUAGAACGCUGAAGGAAGGAGCUUGCUCUUUCCGGAUGAGUUGCGAACGGGUGAGUAACGCGUAGGUAACCUGCCUGGUAGCGGGGGAUAACUAUUGGAAACGAUAGCUAAUACCGCAUAACAGUAGAUGUUGCAUGAUAUCUACUUAAAAGGUGCAAUUGCACCACUACCAGAUGGACCUGCGUUGUAUUAGCUAGUUGGUGAGGUAACGGCUCACCAAGGCGACGAUACAUAGCCGACCUGAGAGGGGGAUCGGCCACACUGGGACUGAGACACGGCCCAGACUCCUACGGGAGGCAGCAGUAGGGAAUCUUCGGCAAGGGACGGAAGUCUGACCGAGCAACGCCGCGGGAGUGAAGAAGGUUGUCGGAUCGUAAAGCUCUGUUGUAAGAGAAGAACGAGUGUGAGAGUGGAAAGUUCACACUGUGACGGUAUCUUACCAGAAAGGGACGGCUAACUACGUG
RNAcentral lists this ribosomal RNA (497 nucleotides) under uncultured bacterium. RNAcentral's name for it is "partial 16S ribosomal RNA". It matches the Rfam family "Bacterial small subunit ribosomal RNA", at positions 28 to 507 of the family's 1533-position model. The record is from RNAcentral.